ACCCCACGCAGCCCCUCCCCACCACCCCUCCACAGGGCAACACUACAGGCGACGGACACAGCCGCAGCAUGAUUGGACCACAGGGCAGCAGCCGCAGCGUGAUUGGACCACAGGGCAGCUGCUGCAUCAUGAUUGGACCACAGGGCAGCAGCCGCAGCACGAUUGGCCCACAGGGCAGACCGCUGCUUCCUAAGAGAACUGACUCGCUCUAAAUCCGCAUUGUCUCCUCACUUUUAUAUUUUUAAUAUGUAAUUGUCUGAUGGACUGUAUUCUGUUUGAUUAUGUACAACGUGGUGUUUUACAUAUAACAAGGUGUUAUAUUUAGCUUGUGUGGAAUUUACAACAUCGAAAGACUGUUGAUAUACCCCGUAAACCAAAGAUACUGAAAUGUGUUCAUUUUUACAACUGAAAUCUGAAAGGGAAAAAAAAAAACUGGUGCACUUCUGGGCCACCAGGGGGCAUUACAUCACCUUCAGACUGACACAUGGUUUAAAACCAUAUGAAUCAAUAAGCAGAGGAAGUAACAAAAAUAAUUUGUUGAGGCUUUGAGCUGCUUAAAAAAUACAAUAUGUUUUUAAAAAAAUAAAUAUCUCUGCAGUAUUCUAUGUAGAUAUAAAUAAAGCGAGCACAGCCAACUGUACCGCAGAGGGAUCUUCCAGUAUCCCAGCACGCAUUGUGCUGGCAGUUUGGGGUUUCUGCGGGUUGGCAGUGCGGUUCUGUCGGCUCUGUGCCUGGCUUGGGCCCUCUGGGGACCCAGCUGGUCAGCCCAGUGCCCUCUCUCCAUGGGGUCUUAAUGGAAAGUUUUAUUUUUCUGCAGCGCUUUUGAUGUGUUGAUAUGAAUGAGGAGGCCGCGAGUGUAACUGGGCCAUUAAAAUGGCGGCGCUUCCCCCUGCAGUGCGUGGGAGGAAGUCAGGGGCUUCCUCUUUUCUCAGUUGCCUUCCUGAACCUGGUGGGUGACGGCUGUUCAGCGUUAAAGAGCAGCCGGUCUAAAUUUAGUUCCCCUACUGGAGGCGGAGUGCGGUCGAAUAUGUUCCUCUAUAGCAGAUUAGGAGUGCGGUCGUACUGAAUGUGUUCCUCUAUAGCAGAUUACAGUAAAUCACUUUCAUUUCAUUUACUUGCUGAACAUCGAAUGACGGCCUGUAAUGAAUAGAUCCGGGUUGUGGACAUAUGUAGAGAUCUCCCUUUGACAGUUUUUAUGAUGAAAAUUAUGCGUGUAAUGCGGCAGAAUUAUUGUACCUGCCACAUUUGGUGCAAACAUUUUACGUUGUAAUAUUACCCCCCCGCCUCCCCCCCUGUUUGUACCUUACUGCAUACGGAGCGUUAAUGGUCAUGCGUGUCAUGCAUGUGAUGUCAUAGGCCACUCUGUGGUGUGUGUGAUGUCAUUGGCCGCUCUGUCGUGUGUGAUGUCAUAGGCCACUCUGUGGUGUGUGUGAUGUCAUAGGCCACUCUGUGGUGUGUGUGAUGUCAUAGGCCACUCUGUGGUGUGUGUGAUGUCAUUGGCCGCUCUGUCAUGCAUGAUGUCAUAGGCCGCUCUGUCGUGUGUGAUGUCAUAGGCCACUCUGUGGUGUGUGAUGUCAUAGGCCGCUCUGUCGUGUGUGAUGUCAUGGGCCACUCUGUGGUGUGUGAUGUCAUAGGCCACUCUGUGGUGUGUGAUGUCAUAGCCACACCUGUGGUGUGUGAUGUCAUAGGCCACUCUCGUGUUUGAUGUCAUAGGCCACUCUGUGGUGUGUGAUGUCAUAGGCCACUCUCGUGUUUGAUGGUACAGCAGUGUUUGGGUGGGUCUGCCUUUGAUAAGGAGUCUUGAGUUGGGAGGGAUGAGGUGGGAAAUGGAGGGAGGGACUGUGCCCUUCCUGCCUGCCCCCCCCUCCCCCUCCCCCACACACACACACACAUGCACGCGCAGCACCUUCAGGUGAAAUGAAAGGAAGCAGGACAAUAACUCUCCCUGCCCCUCUGCCCCACCCCCUCCCAUCCCCCCCAAUCUGUACUAUUGCCAAAAUCCUUCGGUGGCCUCCUCCCCAUUCAGAAAUGUGCAUUUAUAUAUUUUUGUAAGCAUGCUAAAGUGAUCUAUUUUUAAUGGGAAGCGUUGUAUGGUACUGUGCGAAACCCAAAAUAAAAUCUAUUUGAACAAA
Long non-coding RNA from Anguilla rostrata (American eel), 2132 nucleotides. RefSeq lists it as uncharacterized. The record is from RefSeq and is a predicted model, not a curated record. NCBI's taxonomy places the organism in Eukaryota, Metazoa, Chordata, Actinopteri, Anguilliformes, Anguillidae. The transcript is spliced from 2 exons.